Molecule: ribosomal RNA, 164 nt
Filed under: Vigna radiata var. radiata (mung bean)
Lineage: Eukaryota; Viridiplantae; Streptophyta; Magnoliopsida; Fabales; Fabaceae
Also listed under: 3 other names
Description: partial 5.8S ribosomal RNA
Rfam family: 5.8S ribosomal RNA
About the family: 5.8S ribosomal RNA (5.8S rRNA) is a component of the large subunit of the eukaryotic ribosome. It is transcribed by RNA polymerase I as part of the 45S precursor that also contains 18S and 28S rRNA. Functionally, it is thought that 5.8S rRNA may be involved in ribosome translocation.
Source: RNAcentral
AAAACGACUCUCGGCAACGGAUAUCUCGGCUCUUGCAUCGAUGAAGAACGUAGCGAAAUGCGAUACUUGGUGUGAAUUGCAGAAUCCCGUGAACCAUCGAGUCUUUGAACGCAAGUUGCGCCCAAAGCCAUUAGGCCGAGGGCACGCCUGCCUGGGUGUCACAC